UUUCCUCGCGUGUGGCACCAAGACAGCGACAGUCCUGCCCUCGUGGGUUGCUGGAGGAUUGAAUGAGUGAAUAGAUGUGCCGUGCGGGUCCCGUAGAAGGUUCUGUGGUGCUGGCUGGACCACGGGCCUCUUUCGGCCCAACAAUCACCUGCUGUGAACCCACAAAGAGAGAAGGAGGAACUCGAGGCCAUUUGAAACAGAGGAUUCAACUUGAUUCAACGAGUUACCCAGAGGUACUGUGGAUCCUGGAGAAGAGUAACAAGUGCCCAAGCCACUUGAUCGAAGAUCAAAAGUUCACGGACGGCCACGGUCACUGCAAAACUUCACAGAUGGGCGACCAUUGAGAAUGUUUGCUAACACGUGAGUCUCAGUUUAUUAAGCCCUAUGCUGAGGCAUUCUCUGUGGAGGGAAAAACCCAUUAAAAAGUUUAUGCACCUAAAAAAAAAAUAUGCGUCAACGAAAGCUGAAUUAUGGCUGCUGGAUGAAUCUCCCACAUAAGGAACGCUUGGAACAGAAUUACGGAUUAUAUCAUCUGUGAUUUGUCUGGGCCCAAAUAGGCUGAAACACACAAUAAUCUUGAGCUGGAACAACCUCUGUAUCCUCCAGGCUCUCUCCCGCCUCCAAGACAGGGACUUCGGACAGGGUGCCCUCAACACUUACGAAGGACAACAGAAGCAGACAGCUGGUUGAUUCUGUGAUGCUGGAAGUACGAGAGCUGUCCCCAGACAGCGGGCUCCUUGUUUUAAACUCAAUUCAGCCAACAUUUUGGAGCACUUUCUAUAUGCCCGACACUCUGUCCGGGGCAGUGGGGGAUUCAAACAUGAGCGGGACACAACACACACCGAGUCUUUAAGGCCCCUGGGAGAAGCCCAUCUGCUGUCAGAGCUCUGAAGAGAACGUCUUCCCUCUGGUGAAGGUGUGGGGAGCUCUUCACAGACAGGGGCGUGCAGGAUGCGGGUACUCUUCCCAUGCACGGCGAAAGCCUGAGGGCCAGUGUCCUUCCCGGGUCCUGGUGGAGAGACUCGCCUUGCCCCUCAUUUCUGGCCAGGAGCCCGCUUCCAAAGUAGGCAGCUGGCGUGUGCAGGCUCCUUCCCUACACUGGGAGAACACUUGGGGCACCCGCCACAGACUGGGCAUGUGUGGAGAGCGGGUGUUCUCCAGAGUGUAGGAGGGGGGUCCCGGUCCACCCAGCUUUGCAGCUGCCUCCCAGCUUCUGGCCGGAGCCCCUUGCCUCAGUCCUGGGUUCCUCUGGGGCUGGGAUGAAGAGAGAUGCAAGGGCAGCGGUGCUGUGGGUUCACCCCAGUUACCCAUCACUGGCCUUCUCUGGAGGAGUGCAUUUGUCCUUUGACAGAGCCCCCAACACAGACAUGGGGUCCCCAGCACAGCAGCAUUCCCCAGUGUGGGUGACGCCCCCUCUAGCCAGUCUCUCAUCUCCUCCCCUUACCUCUGCUCUGGCUGCACACCCCUGCACCCCGGAGCUGUCUCCCUUCUCACUGAGCAUUCACUCAGCUCAUGGGAAAAUCUCGUGCCACCCUCCCACACCAAGAGGCACAAGCACCGUUGGACCAUGCUGGCUGGUUCCCCUGGUCCUGCCAGGAGAACCUCUCAGGCAGGGGCUGCCUUCAAUCUUCUUCACGGGAGAACUCAGUCUUCCAGUCACAUGUCCCUCACGCUUUGCUGCAGCAGUGGCACCAGGAAGGUCUCUGGGGUGCCACCCCUUAGCCAGACAACUCAA
Molecule: long non-coding RNA, 1735 nt
Filed under: Equus caballus (horse)
Lineage: Eukaryota; Metazoa; Chordata; Mammalia; Perissodactyla; Equidae
Description: lncRNA (ENSECAG00000030748.2)
Source: RNAcentral